RNAcentral lists this transfer RNA (70 nucleotides) under Erica phillipsii. RNAcentral's name for it is "tRNA-Phe". It matches the Rfam family "tRNA", at positions 5 to 66 of the family's 71-position model. Rfam says of the family: Transfer RNA (tRNA) molecules are approximately 80 nucleotides in length. The record is from RNAcentral. Lineage: Eukaryota; Viridiplantae; Streptophyta; Magnoliopsida; Ericales; Ericaceae.
UCAGGAUAGCUCACUCCGGUAUAGCAAAGGACUGAAAAUUCUCGUGUCGCCAGUUCAAAUCUGGUUCCGG